UACGAAGGGGGCUAGCGUUGCUCGGAAUGACUGGGCGUAAAGGGCGCGUAGGCGGACUUUUAAGUCAGGGGUGAAAUCCUGAGGCUCAACCUCAGAACUGCCUUUGAUACUGAGGGUCUCGAGACCGGUAGAGGUAAGUGGAACUGCGAGUGUAGAGGUGAAAUUCGUAGAUAUUCGCAAGAACACCAGUGGCGAAGGCGGCUUACUGGACCGGUUCUGACGCUGAGGCGCGAAAGCGUGGGGAGCAAACAGG
This 253-nucleotide ribosomal RNA is filed under the name uncultured bacterium. RNAcentral describes it as "partial 16S ribosomal RNA". It matches the Rfam family "Bacterial small subunit ribosomal RNA", at positions 524 to 776 of the family's 1533-position model. The record is from RNAcentral.